This 266-nucleotide ribosomal RNA is filed under the name uncultured Oscillospiraceae bacterium. RNAcentral's name for it is "partial 16S ribosomal RNA". It matches the Rfam family "Bacterial small subunit ribosomal RNA", at positions 73 to 339 of the family's 1533-position model. The record is from RNAcentral. Lineage: Bacteria; Bacillati; Bacillota; Clostridia; Eubacteriales; Oscillospiraceae.
UCGAAGUUUACUUUGACUUAGUGGCGGACGGGUGAGUAAUGUAUGAGCAACCUGCCUUUCAGUGGGGGACAACAGUUGGAAACGACUGCUAAUACCGCAUGAUGUCAAUUGGGGGCAUCCCCGAGUGACCAAAGGAUUUAUUCGCUGAAAGAUGGGCUCAUAUCUGAUUAGCUAGUUGGUGAGGUAACGGCUCACCAAGGCUGCGAUCAGUAGCCGGACUGAGAGGUUGAACGGCCACAUUGGGACUGAGAUACGGCCCAGACUCC